Molecule: ribosomal RNA, 154 nt
Filed under: Bullockia mombazensis
Lineage: Eukaryota; Viridiplantae; Streptophyta; Magnoliopsida; Gentianales; Rubiaceae
Also listed under: 1 other name
Description: 5.8S ribosomal RNA
Rfam family: 5.8S ribosomal RNA (bases 1-100)
About the family: 5.8S ribosomal RNA (5.8S rRNA) is a component of the large subunit of the eukaryotic ribosome. It is transcribed by RNA polymerase I as part of the 45S precursor that also contains 18S and 28S rRNA. Functionally, it is thought that 5.8S rRNA may be involved in ribosome translocation.
Source: RNAcentral
GAUACUUGGUGUGAAUUGCAGAAUCCCGCGAACCAUCGAGUCUUUGAACGCAAGUUGCGCCCGAAGCCAUUAGGCCGAGGGCACGUCUGCCUGGGCGUCACGCAUCGCGUCGCCACCCCCCUCGUGCGGGGCGGCGGAUGUUGGCCUCCCGUGC